Molecule: non-coding RNA, 2422 nt
Organism: Cyanistes caeruleus (blue tit)
Lineage: Eukaryota; Metazoa; Chordata; Aves; Passeriformes; Paridae
Source: RefSeq, a predicted model, not a curated record
AGAGACUGGGACCAAGUGUUGCUUCCCAAUUUAUGGAAGCUGGGAGAGAAUGAUUGCCAAAUCAUAAUUACAGGAUGUUUCUGUGUCUCCCGAUUUUAUUGAUUGCUGCUGGUGUUACAAAAAGUCCUUCCACAGUCACCUGAUGAUGACUGACAAAGUCACUAUGAGGAAAGCAUCUGCAGAACUAUAAAAUGUUGCAGGAGGUCCAAAUGGUUUCAAAAGAAAAUGGAGUAGUUGUGAGGGACCAAAGUGUUAGUGGUUAGUGACUCAAACAAUCACAGAUGCAUAAAAGCUGCAGGUGCUUUGCUGAGGCCAGGCUUACACCCCCCAGCUGAAGGGGAGGAGGAGAGUUUUUGGAUGUUUGGCAGCUCCUGGAUGAGAAGCAGAAGUCUGCUGACCCUGACCCUAAUGAAAAUCAGAGACAGCAGUGUGCUCACUCCACGCAGUGCUUGCACUGAGUGAUUCAAGGAUUGCUGGUAUAUCACAGUGCUGGAUCUUUGCUGCAGCACAAAAUGGAAUUUCUGAACUUAUAGCUGAUUUGGUUCCACUAACAGCAACAUCCAACUCUGCAAACCCAGCAGCCACAAUAUAAGCACCCAUGUGACUGAGCAUUUACAAGAUGCUCAAAGUCUGCUUCUAACUGUCCUGCCUGGGUGGUGAAGGAGCCAACACAGAGUUGUGGCUUCCAGUUUAUUUCAGGCAAUUGAAUGCCAAUACUGCACCUUUAACCACUGCUCCGCUGGCACGGGCUUGGAAAGGAGGGCAAUACACCUUUAACAGCCUCCUGCAAGGACACAGGAGCACAAGUGUCAGCAUUUCAAACUGAAGUUGCUGCCUACUGGAUUAUGCCAGACAAGAAAAAGAAUUUGGAACCUGCUAAUGGAUGAGGUCAAGCUGAAUGGGAUCUCAAUCAGUUAUCAACAGCUGCAACAGAUCUCAUUACAUUGCUGGUUUUGGGGUUCAUAGCAGUAAUAACUUGGCUGAGAUUCUGUCAACCCAAACUUUAGUAUAUUUUUUCCCCUCUGUUUACUGAAAAUGAUCACUUAAGUUGGAGUUUGGGGUGAUAAAUAUCACUCACUCACCUGAAACAUUACCUUAGAAGGAAGAUAAUGGCUUGCACAUUGAGUCCUAGGUUUACGUUGUCUCUAAGUCUAGAACUUUGACAAUCACUAAAAACCCCCUUGGCUUUGCACAAAGAAUUAUAUUUACUGGAAGUAAGUGAUCCACACUGGCAGACCACCUGAGCAACAAAGCUACUGGGCACUUUGAGCUUAAUGUAUCUUCAGAAUUGUGAUAGUGCACAGAUGCAGGAAACAAAGAGAGCUGUGUAUUUGUGUCUAGCAGCUUGUUUCUUUAUUUUUCAGCUAUAUUUUGCCUAAUAAAAAGGUGUCAGUUUUUCUUCUACACUGUUCGAUUUGCUGCUUUGACAUAUAUGUACACCAGGACAAAUUAGUUUAUUUGCAUUUUUCAGAUGGUUGGAAAGAGACUUUUAGAGGAACAACAAACAUAAACAAUUUCCAAGCCUUUAUGUCCGAAACAUGAUUUUUAGAAAUGCUUCCAACAAUAAAAUGCAAGAAUGUUUUAGAACUAACUACAUGACAACUAGAAAGGAUAGUUAUCGCAGCUCCUAAUAACCUGUGAUGUGAUACAGCUGUUCUGUAAACUGACACUUAUAAUGAGCAGCUCAGAACAUAUAUUAAUUAAUGAAAAAUAAAUAAUGAUGCCAUCUAAAUAUCUUUUCAAGAGGUGGUUUUAUAAUUGUAUUGUGAAGUAAAAUCUAUGCAGUUUCUCUGAACGACAGAAAAUGAACAAUAGUGAGGUGCUACAUGUCUGGAGGAUUUACAUUAAAAGUGAGCUGAAGUUCAGUAAAAUAAGAACAAUGUGUCUAUUUCUUACCACUUAAAUGUCUGAUAUAUUAAUGCAAAGGAUGAUUACAGCCAUUAAACAUGGAUCAAUCUACAUUUUAGCCAUCUAAAUGUACCAGACAUGCACAACAAUUACAAGAAAAAUACCGAUUGAUUUAUGUUGUAGAGUUAUCACCAGAUGCAUUUAAAAGUAAGGCAUCAGUUUAAAAAUAUGAAUAUCAGGGAGACAUGAAUUCCAUCCACGAAGCAAACAAUUUUGUUUCAUCACAAUAAGCAUCAUUGACCUUGACUGUGAAUGGUGUAUUUUUAAACUAGCAGUAGGAAGAUGAUUCAAUCUCUGCAGUUUUCUGCUAAGAUGGAAAUGUUUUGUUUUAAGCAGGCCUUAUUCAAAAGCAUUUCUCUUUUCAGUAAGUAAUCAUUACAAGAGAUGAGAGACAAAUAUAUGAAUAUGACCGAUUAAAAAGUUUUAUAUGUGACAAAAUAAGCAAUAUGCAUUAGAGAUUUGUCAAGAUAUUUUAAACAUAUCACUAAGCCUGUGGAAUAAAAGAUGAAAUAAA